AUAAUGAUACUUCUGUCAAGUCGAACUUGAGCGUUAAAAGCGUCGCACGUCAGAUGGCAGUCCGGACGUAUGUCGGGAAGGUGUAACUCCUAUGG
This 95-nucleotide non-coding RNA is filed under the name unclassified sequences. RNAcentral describes it as "pemK RNA". It matches the Rfam family "pemK RNA". The record is from RNAcentral.